AACGAACGCUGGCGGCAUGCCUAACACAUGCAAGUCGAACGAGACCUUCGGGUCUAGUGGCGCACGGGUGCGUAACGCGUGGGAACCUGCCCUUAGGUUCGGAAUAACUCCCCGAAAGGGGUGCUAAUACCGGAUAAUGUCUUCGGACCAAAGAUUUAUCGCCUUUGGAUGGGCCCGCGUUGGAUUAGCUAGUUGGUAGGGUAAAAGCCUACCAAGGCGACGAUCCAUAGCUGGUCUGAGAGGAUGAUCAGCCACACUGGGACUGAGACACGGCCCAGACUCCUACGGGAAGGAGCAGUGGGGAAUAUUGGACAAGGGGCGAAAGCCUGAUCCAGCAAUGCCGCGUGAGUGAUGAAGGCCUUAGGGUUGUAAAGCUCUUUUACCCGGGAUGAUAAUGACAGUACCGGGAGAAUAAGCUCCGGCUAACUCCGUG
This 433-nucleotide ribosomal RNA is filed under the name uncultured bacterium. RNAcentral's name for it is "partial 16S ribosomal RNA". It matches the Rfam family "Bacterial small subunit ribosomal RNA", at positions 29 to 507 of the family's 1533-position model. The record is from RNAcentral.